AAUUCCCCCGUUAAGUAGCCAUGCAUUAUCAUUGGAAACACCCACUUCUCUGGCAAAUAAAGCUCUUUUGAUCAUGUCUCCGAAUCAAUAACAGAAGUUUGACCUUACAUAUGCACAAACCCUCUAGUAAAUUCAAUCAAACACUUGACCUUCACUCUGUUGUAUUCGACCAUUGUGUCCAAUUGGUACUUCCUACAGAAAGAAAACAUUAUACAGUUAGAAUUGAUAUACAGUGCAUCGCAUCUGCGAUGGAUCAUGUUAUACAUUUCAAACCGAAGAUUCUAUAUUUAAUUCUAUCUUCAAUAUUCAAUAUAUAUGACCAAAAAUUUGCAAACUUUCUCAUCAACAACACCGACAGUAACUUAGUACACUAUGGUCAAAGAAUCCUUCUUCUGAAGCACAAUAAACAUUAAAAACAAACACACAGGGAAUACUAUAGUGAUACCAAAAGAAGGAAAUGGAUACCUGCAAUAGAUUAGCAAUAACAGAGUUCUCCUUGUUUGAGACACUAAACUCAAUUCCUGCAACUGUUUGCCUUCCUUCCAGUUUGCUUUAAGUUUCUUUUUCUAUUUUUAGCUCUUUAUUGAUUUUAAUUUGUCUUCUGAGAAUGCCGAAUAUAAGGAAACGAGGAAAAUGAUUGG
This 641-nucleotide long non-coding RNA is filed under the name Nicotiana tabacum (common tobacco). RNAcentral describes it as "long non-coding RNA (NTAB_LNC002314)". The record is from RNAcentral. Lineage: Eukaryota; Viridiplantae; Streptophyta; Magnoliopsida; Solanales; Solanaceae.